Molecule: ribosomal RNA, 435 nt
Filed under: uncultured Oscillospiraceae bacterium
Lineage: Bacteria; Bacillati; Bacillota; Clostridia; Eubacteriales; Oscillospiraceae
Description: partial 16S ribosomal RNA
Rfam family: Bacterial small subunit ribosomal RNA
Source: RNAcentral
ACGGGAGGCAGCAGUCGGGAAUAUUGCGCAAUGGAGGAAACUCUGACGCAGUGACGCCGCGUAUAGGAUGGAGGUUUUCGGAUUGUAAACUAUAGUCGUUAGGGAAGAUAAAAGACAGUACCUAAGGAGGAAGCUCCGGCUAACUACGUGCCAGCAGCCGCGGUAAUACGUAGGGAGCAAGCGUUAUCCGGACUUAUUGGGUGUAAAGGGUGCGUAGACGGGAAAUUAAGUUAGUUGUGAAAGCCCUCGGCUUAACUGAGGAACUGCAACUAAAACUGGUUUUCUUGAGUGCGGGAGAGGAAAGUGGAAUUCCUAGUGUAGCGGUGAAAUGCGUAGCUAUUAGGAGGAACACCAGUGGCGAAGGCGACUUUCUGGACCGUAACUGACGUUGAGGCACGAAGGUGUGGGGGGCAAACAGGAUUAGAUACCCUGGUA